This 388-nucleotide ribosomal RNA is filed under the name uncultured organism. Its description in RNAcentral is "bacterial SSU rRNA". It matches the Rfam family "Bacterial small subunit ribosomal RNA", at positions 45 to 433 of the family's 1533-position model. The record is from RNAcentral.
UGCUUUACACAUGCAAGUCGAACGGCAGCACGGGUGCUUGCACCUGGUGGCGAGUGGCGAACGGGUGAGUAAUACAUCGGAACGUGCCCAGUAAUGGGGGAUAACUAACCGAAAGGUUAGCUAAUACCGCAUACGCCCUGAGGGGGAAAGCGGGGGAUCGAAAGACCUCGCGUUAUUGGAGCGGCCGAUAUCUGAUUAGCUAGUUGGUAGGGUAAGGGCCUACCAAGGCGACGAUCAGUAGCUGGUCUGAGAGGAUGAUCAGCCACACUGGAACUGAGACACGGUCCAGACUCCUACGGGAGGCAGCAGUGGGGAAUUUUGGACAAUGGGGGAAACCCUGAUCCAGCCAUUCCGCGUGAGUGAAGAAGGCCUUCGGGUUGUAAAGCUC